AAUACGUUCCCGGACCUUGUACACACCGCCCGUCAAGCCAUGGAAGCUGGGUGUACCUAAAGUCGGUAACCGCAAGGAGCCGCCUAGGGUAGGGUCAGCGAUUGGGGUG
Molecule: ribosomal RNA, 109 nt
Filed under: uncultured bacterium
Lineage: Bacteria
Description: partial 16S ribosomal RNA
Rfam family: Bacterial small subunit ribosomal RNA
Source: RNAcentral